UACGAAGGGGGCUAGCGUUGCUCGGAAUUACUGGGCGUAAAGGGAGCGUAGGCGGGUUAUCAAGUUGGAGGUGAAAGCCCAGGCUCAACCUUGGAAUUGCCUUCAAAACUGAUAGCCUAGAGUAUGAUAGAGGUAUGUGGAACUCCGAGUGUAGAGGUGAAAUUCGUAGAUAUUCGGAAGAACACCAGUGGCGAAGGCGACAUACUGGGGUCAUGACUGACGC
RNAcentral lists this ribosomal RNA (223 nucleotides) under uncultured bacterium. Its description in RNAcentral is "partial 16S ribosomal RNA". It matches the Rfam family "Bacterial small subunit ribosomal RNA", at positions 524 to 746 of the family's 1533-position model. The record is from RNAcentral.